This 290-nucleotide signal recognition particle RNA is filed under the name Carlito syrichta (Philippine tarsier). RNAcentral's name for it is "Metazoan signal recognition particle RNA (ENSTSYG00000035895.1)". It matches the Rfam family "Metazoan signal recognition particle RNA". From Rfam's summary of the family: The signal recognition particle (SRP) is a universally conserved ribonucleoprotein. It is involved in the co-translational targeting of proteins to membranes. The record is from RNAcentral. Lineage: Eukaryota; Metazoa; Chordata; Mammalia; Primates; Tarsiidae.
GCCAAGCGUGGUAGUAUGCGCAUCUUUAGUCCCAGCUACUCUGGAGGUUGAGGUGGAUUGCAUAAUCCCAGGAGUUCUGGACUGUUGUGCGCUGUGCUGGUCAUGUGUCUGCACUAAGUUCGGCAUCAAUAUGGUGACCUCUUGGGAGCAAGGAGCCAACAGUUUGCUUAAGAAGGGGCAAACUGGCACAGAUGUUACGGGCCAAAACUCUGGUGCUCGUUAGUAGUGGGAUCAUGCCUGUGAAUAAUCACUGCACUUUAGCAUAAUCAGUAUAGCAAGACCCUGUCUCU